Gopherus evgoodei (Goodes thornscrub tortoise) is the source of this 742-nucleotide long non-coding RNA. RefSeq lists it as uncharacterized. The transcript is spliced from 3 exons. The record is from RefSeq and is a predicted model, not a curated record. Lineage: Eukaryota; Metazoa; Chordata; Testudines; Testudinidae.
GUCCCGACCCCCAGUUUGAGAACCCCUGGCCUACAGCACCAGCUGGGCUCUGCUCAGUGUGUGCUGGCCACAUGAGCUGGAACCUUGGGCCACAGCGUUUACUUAGUACCUUUAUUGACCUUCUGGCUUUUACCAGGCUGUGUGAUCUGGGGGGGGGGGGCAAAGGGCUGAGGGCCCCCCUUUGUCACUGCUAUGGCAGUGCUACCCCUUAGCAGCACCCUCCCCUGUCCCUCCCAGCCUGGGGCCCAGCAGAGACUGCUGAGUUCAUGUAGCAGGAGUUCCCCUGAUGGAGUCCUUGCCUCCCUUAGGCAGGGGAAGCCCAGCUUUGCAGGGGGCUAGGAGAGUUCGGGAAAGAUGCUGCUCCCCAGACCUUGUUUCUGCUCUUAACCCCCCCACCCUCCCAGUUGGGAACUGGUGCCAUCCCCAGAGCCUGUGUCCUGGGUACUCUGUCAUUCUGCAGCUUGCUUUUCCAGUCUCGGCUCUCUUCUCUGACUGCUGCCGAGAUGCCCCACCGAGGGCAUCACUGAGUUGCACUGUGCUGGGUGCUGUCUGCAGCCUGGACUCCUGGUCAUAAGGAUCCUAUCUGUCUGAAUCCUGGCUGCUCUUUCUUUGAUCUGCAGAAUGACUGAUGCUUUUCAGCCAUCAGUUGUAGGUAAAGAAUCUAAAGAAUAUCUAAGUAUAAUCUAACGUUCUCCUGUGAAAUGCCGGCUGUGCAAACCCUUCCGUGGCUGGAUCAUUCUUG